AGGAUGAACGCUGGCGGUCUGCUUAACACAUGCAAGUCGAACGGAGUACCUCGGUACUUAGUGGCGGACGGGUGAGUAACGCGUGAGAAUCUGCCCUUAGGUCGGGGACAACCAUUGGAAACGAUGGCUAAUACCGGAUAAGCCGAGAGGUAAAAGAUUAAUUGCCUAGGGAAGAGCUCGCGUCUGAUUAGCUAGUUGGUGAGGUAAAGGCUCACCAAGGCAUCGAUCAGUAGCUGGUCUGAGAGGAUGAUCAGCCACACUGGGACUGAGACACGGCCCAGACUCCUACGGGAGGCAGCAGUGGGAAUUUUCCGCAAUGGGCGAAAGCCUGACGGAGCAAGACCGCGUGGGGGAAGAAGGCUCUUGGGUUGUAAACCCCUUUUCUCUGGGAAGAACGCAAUGACGGUACCAGAGAAUCAGCAUCGGCUAACUCCGUGCCAGCAGCCG
RNAcentral lists this ribosomal RNA (447 nucleotides) under uncultured bacterium. Its description in RNAcentral is "SSU rRNA". It matches the Rfam family "Bacterial small subunit ribosomal RNA", at positions 26 to 517 of the family's 1533-position model. The record is from RNAcentral.